CUUUUAAAAACAUUCAUCAUUUUGCGUUAAGUGUAUAACUUUAAGUGUAAUGUUGUUCAAAACGCUGUUAGGUGUCUUGUUUGUGGCAUUUGUGGGUGCUGAUCACUGCCCGGCUGAGGUUAACCCAUCCUCAACCGGCUCAGUUCGGGACAGACUAGUGCUUCUAAAGAGGGACCAUGGAGAACACUGUAUGGAUAAGAAUGACCAUUGCUCCGAAUGUAAAGAAAUGUGUACUACUGAUAAGUACAGCGCGUGGCUGAUGAAAAACUGUCCCUUAACCUGCGGAUUCUGUGAAGACGAUCACGAUCAUGAUGGAGAUGGAGAACAAGACCAUGAUCACGAAGACCACAAAGACCACGAUCAUGAUGGUGAUGGAGAACAAGACCACGAUCACGAAGACCACAAAGACCACGAUCAUGAUGGAGAUGGAGAACAAGACCACGAUCAUGAAGACCAUAAAGACCACGAUCAUGAUGAAGAUGGAGAACAAGACCACGAUCAUGAAGACAUUAAGACCACGAUCAUGAUGGAGAUGGAGAACAAGACCACGAUCAUGAAGACCAUAAAGACCACGAUGACAAAGAGAAGCCUUGCAUUUGGGCAUUGAUUGAGGAUAUGAAAGUUUCAGGUAAGUCAGUGAUGACGAACGUGACGCUGAGCGCAGCAAAGAUGGCGUGUCACCACGACGACCGCUGUACGGCCGUGUCCUGCAACCCGAAGGGAGCUGCUGUGUCAUGAAGAAGUCCCAGAAAAUGAAGCCAAGAAAAGGGUACAAAACCUACCUGAGGAACCCAGUCGCUCUACAGCAACAAUUCAUGAAUGUACUGAUGUUUCUGUUCCCAAAUCUAGCGUAGAAUCUAUCUUAUCAGUGAUUUUUUGAUUACCAUGACCAUAUGUUUAUUGUUGUUUUGGAAUAAAAACUGGUUAGGAAAAAAUUCUUUCACUAAUUUUAGCAUACUCUGCAGAUUACUGUCUAAAUUUUAAAAUGUAUUCUCUUGUGGAUUUGGACCUCUAAAUUCUAACAACUCAAUAAUAAUUAAUAUGUGUUCACUUAAAUACACAAAUAUUCAGAAUUAAAAACUUUAAACAAUACAGACUU
Bolinopsis microptera is the source of this 1099-nucleotide long non-coding RNA. RefSeq lists it as uncharacterized. The transcript is spliced from 4 exons. The record is from RefSeq and is a predicted model, not a curated record. NCBI's taxonomy places the organism in Eukaryota, Metazoa, Ctenophora, Tentaculata, Lobata, Bolinopsidae.